Diceros bicornis minor is the source of this 1146-nucleotide long non-coding RNA. RefSeq lists it as uncharacterized. Lineage: Eukaryota; Metazoa; Chordata; Mammalia; Perissodactyla; Rhinocerotidae. The record is from RefSeq and is a predicted model, not a curated record. The transcript is spliced from 6 exons.
AACCAUUGAAGAGGGAGAAAAUUGCAGAGGAGGAGAGAUUUAACUGAAGAAGCCAGUAGAAUGGUCAGUGGGAUAUCAGCAACUCCAACAAAAAUUAUCUUCGUAAGAGCCGCUUACACAUUAGAGAUAAGGAUUCACUAAUUUCUUCAAAAGUAAAUAUUCUCGUUUAUUCUAACUUCCAAAGAAGAAGAAUAACUUCAAAUGUCAAUUGUGUUUGGAUACCGGUGCUAAGAUGUAAACUGACUGUGCUUGAUCCACUCCAAAGAGGACAGCUGGAUAAUCCCCACAGACAGGAAGGAUUACUGACUCACCAGAAAUACACAGGCACGGGGACAGCAGUGGGUUCCAAUUGCUAGCUAUGUGAACGAUCUCCCCAGGUAGCUGUCUCACAGGAUCAAUCUAUCGAUUCUCACUGCACGGGGUAAAGAGGAAACCACCGGAUCAGCCCACAGCUGCUGUAGGAGUGAGAGAUUGGUUCGAGAGAUACAAGUCAGAAAGCUUAACCUGAAACAUUGAAUUCAUCAAAUUCUACAGUAGGCUAUACAUUUAUAGAAGACGACAGAACUCUUCCAUCAAAAGAGAAUAUGAUCCAGUGCCCAGAUCUCAGUUUCUAAUACCAUUCUCCAAUAGAAGGUACCAAAACUCCUUGGAUAAAUGGGCAAUUUUAGAGCUGGGGCAUGGAAUAUACAAGAUAAACCUGGAGUAUUUUGUAGUGGCAGAAACUAAGGAAUUGCUCAAAAUACAAAAUGAUGAGUAUAUGCCAAAAGGACACAGAAGCCAGCUGAAAGAGCCCCUAAUGUCAAACCAGAACAAGGUGACUAACAACAUAAAUAAUGUAAUAUUGACUUAUACCCCCAAGUAUAAAAUAAAGCCCAUACUGAUAUAAGCAAGGGAUAGAAUAAAAAAUAAAUAAGGGAGAAGAGAUGAAUCUCCCAUACAGGAGAAUUUCAAAUAAUUAAUGUAAAUACUUGCCCCUCUACUCCUUAAUUAUGGACUAUGCUUAGUGACUUGCUUACAAAGAGUACAGUAUGGAAAGGGGGAAAAAUAACUUUACAGAGGAGAAUUCUGGCAAACACACCCUUAGGUAUUUGAUUAAGGUUAAUAUCAUCAGUGAUAAGUCACGUGUGGAUCACAUAUGCCCUUGAU